UUUUCGCAAUGCCCGAAAGGGUGACGAAGCGACGCCGCGUGGGUGAGGAAGGCCUUCGGGUUGUAAAGCCCUGUCAGGAGUUAAGAAAUGUAAGUGCGCUAAUAUCGCAUUUAUUUGACGAAGGCUCCAAAGGAAGUCACGGCUAACUCUGUGCCAGCAGCCGCGGUAAUACAGAGGUGGCAAGCGUUGUUCGGAAUUAUUGGGCGUAAAGAGCACGUAGGUGGGUUUGUAAGUCAGAUGUGAAAGCCUUCUGUUCAACGGAAGAAUUGCAUCUGAAACUGCGAGUCUUGAGUGUAGGAGGGGAGAAUGGAACUUCUGGUGGAGCGGUGAAAUGCGUAGAUAUCAGAAGGAACGCCGGCGGCGAAAGCGAUUCUCUGGCCUAUUACUGACACUCAGUGUGCGAAAGCUAGGGGAGCAAACGGGAUUAGAUACCCCGGUAGUCCUAGCCGUAAACGAUGGGCACUAAGUAGAGGGGUUUUA
RNAcentral lists this ribosomal RNA (480 nucleotides) under uncultured anaerobic ammonium-oxidizing bacterium. RNAcentral describes it as "bacterial SSU rRNA". It matches the Rfam family "Bacterial small subunit ribosomal RNA", at positions 363 to 833 of the family's 1533-position model. The record is from RNAcentral.